GUAAAGCUACAUACGAAUAUUAUAUUUGGUUAAUUAAUAAAAAUUAUAUAGUUUUAUUUUUGUAGUAGUUAGGACUAUGAGUAUAAAGAAAUUUAAUAAUGGUUACUAAGUCGUUAGAAGAGACUAAACCACAGUGCCAGCAGUCGCGGUUAAACUGUUUACUUCUCGUUUUAUUUGUAGGUUUAAAGAAUUAUUAAAUAAGCUAGAAAGUGUGUUAGUAAAAUAGGCUUUUGUCGGAAAAGAGUUUAAUAAUUUUUUUAGAGAGUCUAAGAAAAAUGGGGAUUGGAGACCCCUUUAUUGGACUUCGAAAUUUUAGUCCACAGUUAGAAACUGAAAGGGUUUGGCGGUAAACUAGAUUCGUCCGGGGGAAUGUGCAUAUUAAAGAGAUGAUCCGCUAAUUAUUUUACUAUAAUGAUUUCAGUUAGUGUAUAUCCGUUUGUAGAUUUACGUCGAGAGACAUUAAGUGAGUAGUAAUUAAAUAAUUUAAGACAGGUCUAUAUGCUGCUAAUAUUAUAGGUGGUUGUGCGUUACAAUAAUAAGUUAAGUGGAUGAAAUUCGCUUAAAAAUUUAGGACUCGGAAGUAGGAGUAAAAU
RNAcentral lists this ribosomal RNA (593 nucleotides) under Schistosoma mattheei. RNAcentral describes it as "partial 12S ribosomal RNA". Lineage: Eukaryota; Metazoa; Platyhelminthes; Trematoda; Strigeidida; Schistosomatidae. The record is from RNAcentral.